AGAGUUUGAUCCUGGCUCAGAACGAACGCUGGCGGCAGGCUUAACACAUGCAAGUUGAACGGUAUUUGAUGGUAGCUUGCUAUCAUUGAAGAGAGUAGCGCACUGGUGAGUAACACGUGGGAACGUACAUUGUAGUGGGGGACAACAGAGGGAAACUUCUGCUAAUACCGCAUAAUCCCUGAGGGGGAAAGAUUUAUCGCUAUAAUAUCGGCCCGCGGCAGAUUAGGUAGUUGGUGGGGUAAAGGCCUACCAAGCCUACGAUCUAUAGCUGGUCUGAGAGGACGAUCAGCCACAUUGGAACUGAGACACGGUCCAGACUCCUACGGGAGGCAGCAGUGAGGAAUAUUGGGCAAUGGAGGGAACUCUGACCCAGCCAUGCCGCGUGAGUGAGAAGGUUUUCGAAUUGUAAAGCUCUUUCGGGUGUGAAGAUGAUGACGGUAGCACCAGAAGAAGCCCCGGCAAACUUCGUGCCAGCAGCCGCGGUAAUACGAAGGGGGCGAGCGUUGUUCGGAAUUACUGGGCGUAAAGGGUGUGUAGGCGGUUUAAUAAGAUAGUGGUGAAAUGCCGGAGCUCAACUUUGGAAUUGCCAUUAUGACUGUUAGGCUAGAAUGAUGUAGAGGAUAGCGGAAUACCCAGUGUAGAGGUGAAAUUCGUAGAUAUUGGGUAGAACACCAGAGGCGAAGGCGGCUAUCUGGGCAUAAAUUGACGCUGAGGCACGAAAGCAUGGGGAUCAAACAGGAUUAGAUACCCUGGUAGUCCAUGCUGUAAACGAUGAAUGCUAGUUGUUGGCGUAAGUCAGUGACGGAGUAAACGCAAUAAGCAUUCCGCCUGGGGAGUACGGUCGCAAGAUUAAAACUCAAAGGAAUUGACGGGGACCCGCACAAGCGGUGGAGCAUGUGGUUUAAUUCGAUGCAACGCGAAGAACCUUACCAACUCUUGACAUCCUUAUCGGGGAGGGGAGAGAUUCCUUCUUUCAGUUAGGCUGGAUAAGUGACAGAUGCUGCAUGGCUGUCG
This 1014-nucleotide ribosomal RNA is filed under the name human gut metagenome. RNAcentral's name for it is "bacterial SSU rRNA". It matches the Rfam family "Bacterial small subunit ribosomal RNA", at positions 8 to 1054 of the family's 1533-position model. The record is from RNAcentral.